CUACCCGUCAAUCAAUUUAUUUACUUAACGCUGCUUCCCACAUUUUUAUUGUAUUGCUGUAAAAAAAAAAUCUAUCUUCCUAUUAUCUCUCUUUUCGUGACAUUUUCCCAUCAUUCAGGUUCGUUCCCAUGCAUUCAUCUACUCAUCAACCUAUUUAUUUACCCAUCGCCGCUUCCCAUCACAUCACUACAUUGCUGUAAAAAACUCCAGCUGUUAAUUUAUUUUCCUGACAUUUUUACACUUUACAUUUUACUUUCAGGGUCGCAUGCACGAAUUCAUCAAUCCAUCAACCUUUAUAUUUACUCAUUACCACCUCCCACACUCGCGUUGCAUUUCGACACUCGGCGCUAAAAAUAUGCCACUAAUUGUAAUUGCCUAAAACACUCUUUUGUUGCCCACCACAACACAAAAAUAUAUUAAUCACCACAAAUUGUCAUCCAUUUAUUUCGACAAUUCAUCCCACGCAUUAUUCUCCAUUCAUUUAAUUCACGGUUAAUGGUAUUUGUUCAGUAUGCAUGCUUUAUGGCUGCACACAAAAAUACAUUGAUAGUCAUUCGCUGCUACAUGUGAAAAAAGAAAGGCCGAUGAACGGAUAUGGGAAAGCGUGUAGGUGAUGCCAGUUGUAAACGUUAUGAGAUCGCAUAUUUCCGCAUAGAUUAACGUUCACUAUGUAAGUCAAUUGUGUGAUCGGAGGCAAUGUGAGGUGAGCCAACUAGCGCAUUCCGGACCAAUAUGUGUCGGACUUUCCCUGUGCAGCUAUGAAAAGGAGGCAGAAAAGAUAGUUGGAGAAUUGAUGAGUGGUGGAAAAAGAAAGAAAAUACAGGUAAGAGUGGAGGAGAAUAUAUUAGUAACGAAAGUAGGCAGUGAAAUACAGGUGAAGAAUAUAUGAUAGGUGAGAGAAGAAGCAUAUUUAGGUUGGAUGAGAAAGAUUAAAAUUAAGUUAGGUGAGAAAGAUUAAAAUUAGGCUGGAUGAGAAAUAUUAAAAUUAGGUUGGAUGAGAAAGAUUAAAAUUAGGUUGGAUGAGAACGAUUAAAAUUAGGUUGGAUGAGAAAGAUUAAAAUUAGGUUGGAUGAAAAAGAUUAAAAUUAGGUUGGAUGAGAAAGAUUAAAAUUAGGUUGGAUGAGAACGAUUAAAAUUAGGUUGGAUGAGAAAGAUUAAAAUUAGGUUGGGUGAGAAAGAUUAAAAUUAGGUUGGAUGAGAAAGAUUAAAAUUAGGUUGGAUGAGAAAGAUUAAAAUUAGGUUGGAUGAGAAAGAUUAAAAUUGGGUUGGAUGAGAAAGAUUAAAAUUGGGUUCGAUGAGAAAGAUUAAAAUUAGGUUGGAUGAGAAAGAUUAAAAUUAGGUUGGACGAGAAAGAUUAAAAUUGGGUUCGAUGAGAAAGAUUAAAAUUAGGUUGGAUGAGAAAGAUUAAAAUUGGGUUGGAUGAGAAAGAUUAAGUUCCAAAAGAGGUAAAAGAUGUAAAAGGAGAGUUCUUGAUGGCUGGAAAAAAAAGGAAGAAAAGAAAAGGGAUGAGAUACAAAAAUAAAUUAGAGAGGAUGUGACGAAUGACGGGAAGCUUAUAAAAAAGGAGCAGGAUAAAGCUGGAUAGGAAAAGGAUGAAGUAUAAAAAGGCAGAAAAGGAAAAAUGAAGAGUUGAAAGCUGAAAAAGAAGCGCACGCAGGGUAAAUGAGAAAGAUGAAAUAGAUAAAAAAAAAAGAGGUGGAGAAAGAUAAGUGGAGAGUGAACAAUAGCUUAAAAAAGAAGCAAAAUUAGGGUGAGUCAAAGAUGGAUUACAAAAAGGGGCAAGAAGGAUGAGAAUAAAAGAGGUAGAGAAAGAUAGGUGGAGAGUGAACAAUAGCUUAAAAAAGAAGCAAAAUUAGGGUGACUAAAAAAUAUGAAUUACAAAAGAGGGCAAGAAGGAUGAGAAUGAAUAUAACUUAAACGAAUAGCAAAUAUAGGCUGUUAAAGAAAUAUGAACUAAUAGAAAUAGUGGAAAAAAUACUAAGUGAUAACGGGUGAGUAGAGGAGUGGAAAGGUAAAUAGAUUGGUGAUGAAAUAUAUAUAGCCAAAACAAUUAUUGAAUUCUGGGAAAAAUGAGGUUAUGCGUGUGUGGAAGGGUGGGGAAGGGUGCCUUAUUUUAUAUUUAAAUGCCAAAGAGCGAGUAGCGAGCUUUUUUUUUUAUUGUUGUUUCCUUUUUUUGUGCCCUUGUGCUGUCUCCCUUGCUGUAAAAAAAAUAAUAAAGCCUGCAUCCGGGCAUUUCUCUUGCUGGUGCCCGCAAAUCAAGGUUACAUCUACCACUUUUAUACGCAAACAUUUCCAAUUAGUGAGGAUAGGUGAGCGAUACUUAUACUAUCUUCACGUUGCUGUGCUUAAAUCCUCUUAUUGUAAAGUUAAUACCGUCGAUUAUUUUUAUUUUUAGUUAUAGUAGUGGUUGAAGAGUGGGGAGGGCUGUGGACUAGUCGAUUAAGGUGUUAAGAGCCAAGGAGAGGAGGUUCGAGCCCCAGAUUCUCCGCGUAACGCCAGGAAGGGGAUCCGAUCUUCAACACUAAGGGUCGCAUUUUUAACCCGUCCUGGUAACAUAUAGUCCCAGGUCUUUCUCUGCUUCUGUGGUGGAUAGUGAAGUGUUUCCCAUGUGGUAUUGGUAUGCUAAAUUUUCCCUCCCAAGCUGCAUGACUUUACAUUUUUCUUCAUUGAAUUAUAACAGCCAUUUUUUGUUCGAUUCCUGAAGCUUGGCGAGGUCUUCUUGUAGGAAGUCCGGAGUCAUUGGGUUAACAAGGCUUUCUUAGGCGUUUUGGGGCAUUUCAAUUGGGUAGUUUAAUGACCCUGGUGGUAGUCUGACCGGUUUGACCCUUCUUCUCUACCGUGAACGUGAAACAACACUCAUGAGAACCCGAAUGAUCUCCUUUUCUGCCUCUGGAAAUAGUUGGUGUGGGAGGCGGAGGAGUCUGAGAAUACCGACCUAAUCCACGACCCCAAAAAACUGACCCUAUAUGAACUAGAGUGAAAAUAGUCAUGACAAAAGAAGAAUAAGUAAUUGGAAUAGUAGUAGAAAAUAUCAGGAAAUGAGGUUCGAGCCCCAGUGUCUCCGCUUAACGCCAGGAAGGGGAUCUGGUCUUCAACACUAACCCACGACCCCAAAAACUGACCCUAUAUGAAACAGAGUGAAAAUAGUCAUGACAAAAGAAGAAUAAGUAAUUGGAAUAGUAGUAGAAAAUAUCAGGAAAGGAGGUUCGAGCCCCAGUGUCUCCGCUUAGCGCCAGGAAGGGGAUCUGGUCUUCAACACUAACCCACGACCCCAAAAACUGACCUUAAAUGUACUAGAGUGAAAAUAGUCAUGACAAAAGAAGAAUAAGUAAUUGAAAUAGUAGUAGAAAAUAUCAGGAAAUGAGGUUCGAGCCCCAGUGUCUCCGCUUAACGCCAGGAAGGGGAUCCAAUCUUCGACACUAGCCCACGACCUCAAACACUGACC
Molecule: long non-coding RNA, 3445 nt
Organism: Eriocheir sinensis (Chinese mitten crab)
Lineage: Eukaryota; Metazoa; Arthropoda; Malacostraca; Decapoda; Varunidae
Exons: 4
Source: RefSeq, a predicted model, not a curated record